UCCUCUGAGAGUGCCGCACACACACACAGACGCCAGCCCACCCAGUGCCGUCUCUGAACUCACUAGGUGAUCUCUUUGCAGGGCUCUGUAUCCGCUAGAACUGCCUUUCUGCACAUUCUUUACAUGCAAGUGACUCUGUCACCCCUAUGGCUGAGAAAUGACACCCCCAUCUUUCUGCUUUGAAGCAGCUUGUUCAAGCCUAUAGCUUCACACAGCCGUGAUAGGAGCUGGAGACAUCUGAAGGCAGUUGGCAUCUUCGUCGAGCCCUCUGGCCACUCCAUAGCAAGUUAGAGUCUGUGAACACGUCUUCAUGGAGCACACAUCCUCCUCCACCUCUUCUCUCUUCAAAACCUAAAAGGCGGGCUUCCAGCUCAAGACCGAUGGUGCCUUUCUGAAAGUUCUCUGAAAUAAAAAUGAGACGUUAUAAAAAUAUUAUCCUUGAGCAAUUAAAAGAACAGGAAGGGGGGAAAUCACUAAUUUCAACAAAUUUCCAGAAGACAUAGAAGGGAUGCCUGAGUGUUGGCAGGUGGGAUGGGCAGAGCAACAGGCGGCUGAAUGCAGCAGCUUGGAGCACAGGAGGGAGUUAGAGAGAAGACCGGGGACCAUCUGCACAAUGUAACUCACGGAGGGGAAGCGUGGCUGCCUAAAAUGAACGGGUUCAUUGAAAGCCUGUGUUUAGCAGAUCUGCUGGUACCACCGCACCCCGUAAACAGAGCUCAGGCAGCUGAUACUUAUCACCAGACUGUCCCCGCUCCACCAAAAAACAAGAAGAAAAGAAAAAAACCCUCUUUUCUAAAGAAACCAAAAAUAUUUGUUAAAAAUAUUAACUGUAGUCAAGAGUCUCUUUAGACAAAUUAUUUUUAAGUAAUAAUUUCUUUAAAAUUUUGCAGAGAAGAGCAGUGGAUACUGGACUUGGGAAUUCCUUUAACAGGAAAUUGAAUUUUAAACAAAUCAAUCUAUUUUUUUAAGGAAAUAAGCCUUAUGUGGGUUGCUCUGUUAUCCCCAGCCUGGACCUAAGCUGUUUCUACUCCACGUUCAGGCAUGUUCAAGCAUGCCUAACACAAUUUGGGGGCUGUUGGCCAGAAAUCUAUAUUCGGAAAGCCUGAGGGUCCAGGCAGAACUCAGUGGAAAAGAAAAGUGUCAGGGAGGCAGUGUGACCCGUAACAAGGGUUUCCCAAUCAGAGGAGAAAAAUGAUGGUGUGUACAGCAAGCCAUUGUUUCCAGGCCAGCCUCCCCGGACUGGACUCAUACUUGCUUUUCAAAGAGACUAAAAUCAAGUUCUGUUAGGACUGAAAGCUCCCAGCACUCUAGCGGAGGAAACACCAUUCUGUCACCUAAUAAAGAGAGGGUAUCAGAGAGGAAGAGGAGGAUUCUCCCCACUCUGGGGCCCGAGUCCCUCCAGAGCCCUGGUGUGUGAAUAGCUGCAGUGUCCAGGGGAGGGCAGGAUGCAGCGCCUAGCUGAGGAAGCAACAGAGCGCAAGAAAGAAGCAGCACAAUGGAUGCCUCCCCAGGCCUGAAGACCCUCUCACGGGGCCAGGACUAUCCUUCCUCACGAGCACACCCUGGACCCCCAGGAACAACUUCAAAUGCU
RNAcentral lists this long non-coding RNA (1591 nucleotides) under Homo sapiens (human). RNAcentral describes it as "HSALNT0237377". The record is from RNAcentral. Lineage: Eukaryota; Metazoa; Chordata; Mammalia; Primates; Hominidae.